UACGGAAGGCAGCAGUGGGGAAUAUUGCACAAUGGGCGCAAGCCUGAUGCAGCCAUGCCGCGUGUAUGAAGAAGGCCUUCGGGUUGUAAAGUACUUUCAGUCGUGAGGAAGGUGUUAAGGUUAAUAACCUUAGCAAUUGACGUUAGCGACAGAAGAAGCACCGGCUAACUCCGUGCCAGCAGCCGCGGUAAUACGGAGGGUGCGAGCGUUAAUCGGAAUUACUGGGCGUAAAGGGCACGCAGGCGGUUAAUUAAGUUGGAUGUGAAAUCCCCGGGCUUAACCUGGGAAUGGCAUUCAAGACUGGUUAGCUAGAGUCUUGCAGAGGGGGUAGAAUUCCAUGUGUAGCGGUGAAAUGCGUAGAGAUGUGGAGGAAUACCGGUGGCGAAGGCGGCCCCUGGACAAAGACUGACGCUCAUGUGCGAAAGCGUGGGGAGCAAACGAGGAUUAGAUACC
Molecule: ribosomal RNA, 453 nt
Filed under: uncultured bacterium
Lineage: Bacteria
Description: bacterial SSU rRNA
Rfam family: Bacterial small subunit ribosomal RNA
Source: RNAcentral